CUCGAUCAAUCACUUCCAUUGCUCCCACUAGAUCGUCCCAGGAGUCGACUACAGUCACAGAAUGUGGCGUGGUUUACAAAUCAAAAUGUUUUCGAGCAAUCGUUUAUGACACAUGGAACGUCACAUUGAGCGCCGCUGAAUCUAUUUGUGAGAAUAAACUGGCUAACAUUUAUGACGUUACACACUACAACAUGCUUCGAGAUUAUUUACUACCAAUGAUCCCUGAUAGGCUACCAUGGAUUGGUGUUCGUACGGGAAUGACUUACGAAGUACGACGAGCCUUGGUCAUUUUAAUAAUGUAGCCUUACUGAACGGUGGACUGUAUGCAACGACGGGCGAAGCUGUAAAUCUGCCAACUGAGGUUUGGUAUCCGAAUUAUCCGUCUUCCGCUGAAUCGUUUACAACUGUUGUUGUUUAUGUCACUCGAAACCCGGAGAACAAUUCUCAAGAGAUUUUCAAUAUUCCUCCUUCCUAUGCAUAUCACGGAGCCAUCUGUGA
Molecule: non-coding RNA, 498 nt
Organism: Styela clava
Lineage: Eukaryota; Metazoa; Chordata; Ascidiacea; Stolidobranchia; Styelidae
Source: RefSeq, a predicted model, not a curated record